UACGUAGGGGGCAAGCGUUGUCCGGAUUUAUUGGGCGUAAAGAGCGUGUAGGCGGCCAGACAGGUCUGUUGUGAAAACUGGAGGCUCAACCUCCAGACGUCGAUGGAAACCGUCUGGCUAGAGUCCGGAAGAGGAGAGUGGAAUUCCUGGUGUAGCGGUGAAAUGCGCAGAUAUCAGGAAGAACACCCGUGGCUAAGGCGGUUCUCUAGUACGGUACUGACGCUGAGACGCGAAAGCGUGGGGAGCGAACAGG
Molecule: ribosomal RNA, 253 nt
Filed under: uncultured bacterium
Lineage: Bacteria
Description: partial 16S ribosomal RNA
Rfam family: Bacterial small subunit ribosomal RNA
Source: RNAcentral